This 1315-nucleotide ribosomal RNA is filed under the name Nomadacris japonica. RNAcentral's name for it is "16S ribosomal RNA". The stretch from base 459 to 1315 matches the Rfam family "Archaeal large subunit ribosomal RNA", at positions 1423 to 2806 of the family's 2987-position model. The record is from RNAcentral. Lineage: Eukaryota; Metazoa; Arthropoda; Insecta; Orthoptera; Acrididae.
UUAUUUAUUUUAUUAUAUUUAUUUAUUGUUUUUCAAUUAUUUAAUAUAAGUAAUUUUAUUGGGUUUUGUCUUAGUAUAUUUUAUAGAACUGAUUUUUAAAAUUAUAGUUUAUUGGUAAUGUAAGUGUUUUAUGAAAUAUUAUCUUAGAUUUUUUAAAGUAAAUUUUAUUUGUUGUACCUUUUGUAUCAGGGUUUAUCAAAAUUUUGGUAUUUAUAAUACUUUUCUCGAUUUGGGUUGAUUUAUAAUUAAUUUAUAGUUAAUGUGUCAUAAUUAUUAUUAAAUUAUUUAUAGAAAUGAGAUGUUAAUCGUUUCCCAAGAUAUCUAGUUUCUUAAGAAAAAAUUUAAUUUUUUAAAGUUAAUUGUUUUUUAUUUAAAUUUUUAAGUAUAAAUAUUAACUUAUUUAUUCUUUAAGGGAUAAGCUUUAAAGUUUAUAACCUAUAAUUUUCUUUUUAUAAUAUAAUAGUAGGCUUUAAACCAGCCAUCUUUGAAAUUACGUUUUAGUUCAUUAUUUUAUAUUUUGAUUUUAUAAUUAUUUUAGGUUUUUUAUUAAAAUUUUUGAUUUAAUUUUAAAAAUUUUUGUAAUAAUGAUUGAAUUAGUAUAUUUAUUUGUAUAAAAUUUUUACCUUGUAAAUUUAUUAUAAGGAACUAGGCAAAAUUGAUUUCCGCCUGUUUAUCAAAAACAUGUCCUCUUGAAAAUAUUUUGAGGUCUGGCCUGCUCACUGAGCUGAUUUUGAAGAGCCGCGGUAUUUUGACCGUGCAAAGGUAGCAUAAUCAUUAGUCUCUUAAUUGGUGGCUGGAAUGAAUGGCUUGACGAGAAAUCAACUGUCUCUUAAUAAUUUUUUGAAUUUAACUUUUAAGUCAAAAGGCUUAAAUUUAUCUUUAGGACGAGAAGACCCUAUAGAGCUUGACAUUUUAUUUUUAUAUAGUUUUUUGUUGAUCUUUCUAUAUUUAAUGAUAAUGUUUUGUUGGGGUGACAUGAAGAAUAAAUAAACUCUUCAUUAUUAUAUCAUUGAUUUAUGUUUGUUAUUUUGAUCCAUAAUUUAUGAUCAUAAGAUUAAGUUACCUUAGGGAUAACAGCGUAAUUGUUUUUGAGAGCUCAUAUCGACAAAGCAGAUUGCGACCUCGAUGUUGGAUUAAGAAAAAUUUUGGGUGCAGUAGCCCAGUGAUUAGGUCUGUUCGACCUUUAAAUUCUUACAUGAUCUGAGUUCAGACCGGCGUGAGCCAGGUCGGUUUCUAUCCUAAGAUUAGUUAAUUCAUAUUAGUACGAAAGGACCAUAUGGUUAAAAUAUUUUUUAUCUAAUUGAUUAAUAUUAAU